This 63-nucleotide transfer RNA is filed under the name Platypedia putnami. RNAcentral's name for it is "tRNA-Cys". Lineage: Eukaryota; Metazoa; Arthropoda; Insecta; Hemiptera; Cicadidae. The record is from RNAcentral.
UGCCUUAUAGUUAAUUUAAUAAUAUUAAACUGCAAUUUUAAAGUAAACUUUAGUUUAAGGCUU